AGCGAGCGCUCGAGGGGGCGGCGCGGGGUUCGCGGAGGGGCCCCAAGGACGCGCCGCCGGCUUCGCCACGCCGAGCGCCCGGCCCGGACCCUGUUCCCUAAAGAUCAGGACGGAUGGGGAAAAGCGCCCUUCUUAGGUGAAAGCAUCAGCUCGUUUCUACGUGUCAGCACUGGGAGAAGAUGUGGGGUCAGCGUCUUCACCAGGGAGCUGGUGCGAGGAUCAGCCCGUGAGAUGACAGACUCGGCGCCCUGCCAGAUGCUGUAAAGCGUGGAACUGUGUCAUCGAUGGUUAAGGAGAAAACAGGGUUUUGCAAAGGCACAACUAGAAGGAUGAAGGUGGCUGAAUAUUUGUCUUCUGAGUGAUACGGACUUUCCUUGAAGAAUGGCGCAUUUACGAGUGUCAGCCUGCCACCCGUUACUGCGAUUAGGUUCUUCAGCAACCGAGGAGGAAUGAGGAGGACUCAGACGGAUUUCGAAGAAUGGCAUGACUAAUGUACAAACAAGAGUGAAAGGGAGUGUUGGAAAAACUCAGGGACACUGAAGACUGAAGUGGGUUGAAAACAAAUCAGAACGUGAGUUCUCCCACUUGAGUGCGAGCAGAAUUUGUUUUUCAGAAGUAAUUUUUAAGGAUUCACUUGGAGAAGGAAGAGGGAUUUUCCUUUACGCUUUUGGAUCGGAUGGCUCUGUGUUGCGAACGGUUUUCUCGCGGCCUUCAAGAAUUUGUUUGGUACCCACUUGUUCAAAACCCAAGGGCAAACAGCCAAGUCCCCUUAAAGCUGUCCGCCCGGGACUACGGGAGUCAGUUUGAAACGUCUUCGUUUUAAGAAGGUGGCAGAAUUACAUAAUUAUUCACAGCUCAUAAGAAAUUAAAAUACCUCUUCCAAAUAUGAAGUCGCGAGAUAACACAAACCACAAGUCCUAGACUCUCGGAGGGCGUGUGCCUCGUUUGUGCUCCCACACACAAACCCACAGCCGACCGUCUGCGCUGAGAGCACGUGGCCCCACUGAGAGCACGUGGCCACGCUGACCUCGCUUCCCUCGUGUUCCUCCGCACACAGCAGGGCUCUUGCCCAGGGCCUCCCUUGGCGACGCCGAGGGACCGAAGAUGCCAAAUGCUGGAGAGGCGGGAGGUCACCACAAGGCACCUGGGACCACAGACGCACUCUCUUCCACUCAUGGCCAGGGUGCACGAGAAAACAGCAUAGGCACAGAGGAAAAUUUGUAAAAACCUGAACUAACUGGCUCGAGGCCUUGGCCCAUCCAAGCGCAGCCCGAAGCUGCGAGUCGCUCAAGGCUGCUUCAGAUCCGGGCGCGUUUUAUCUGCGGUGGGAAUUUUGGAGAUAAUUCAUCCUGAGACGGUUCAUCUCAUCUCAGCCCAGUUUUCAGCAAUUCCUCUGAGACGGGCCGUCCUUUCCCAGUGGACAAAGCGUGUUGACUGGUAUUUAUGGCGAUGCCCAAUGGGAGGCAGAGUCACAGAUUUCUCCCAAAUCUCGGAGCCAAAGCUGGGCUCUGAAGUUUUUCUUCUACGUGCUUAGAGGCAUUCGGGGACAUGGCAGAGAAAUUAGGGUGCAAAGGAUUACUCAUCAUAUCUUUAAGAUGCCGCCUUGCGCUGCUCUGCAAUUAGAAAACGUGUUCCCUCCCGAGGCUGGUGCUGGUCGGGGGAAGGCUGGAUGGCACAGCAGCAAGAUAAUUAGGCACAACAGAAUUAACUCCAGAGUAAGUGUCAGCCUCAGUUGCAAUCCUCCUCAUUUCAUUAUACUCAGCCCUGUAAUGUCUGUUUUUUUGUUUUUUUGGUUUCGCUAAAUCAAUUUUAAGCAGCACCAAAAAACACCAGGAAGGUGGUAAGAAAGUGAAAAUAAGUGAGAAGAGUGUAUAUACUCCAUCGGGCCCGUCUGGAAAAUGUUUAAUUGGAUUCGCUCCACGCCAACACCACUGUGGCGGCAUCGCCGUCUCACGUGUGGGUUCACCCCCGGCAAGCUCAGUGUGUGGGGUGCCUCCCUCCCCUCCUCUCCCCUCCCCUCCAGUUCCACUGUGUCCACUGUGCUGCAACCGAGCAGGUCCUUAGGGGUCCUUCCUGGGACAGGCCCCUCCCCGCCCAUGUCCUCCACCUGCCUCGUGUCUGUAGAAAAACUUUAGCCUCCUGGGCCCUCACCUCCUUCCAAAGAAUGCAUUUAAUCAGAGAAGUGAGAAAUGCAGAAAGAAAGGACAAUAGUCAAGCCAGACAAAAGCCAUUCAACAAACUCCAGGGCCUUGCGUUCCUCGUCGGGGGCUGUAGAUAAUAUUCUGAGCCAUUUCCUCGAGCUGUUUUGCAGAGGCUGAAACCCCCACCAGGUGGAGGAAGUUAACUGUACGC
Molecule: long non-coding RNA, 2352 nt
Filed under: Sus scrofa (pig)
Lineage: Eukaryota; Metazoa; Chordata; Mammalia; Artiodactyla; Suidae
Description: lncRNA (ENSSSCG00050003305.1)
Source: RNAcentral